UGAGACACGGCCCAGACUCCUACGGGAGGCAGCAGUAGGGAAUCUUCGGCAAUGGACGGAAGUCUGACCGAGCAACGCCGCGUGAGUGAAGAAGGUUUUCGGAUCGUAAAGCUCUGUUGUAAGAGAAGAACGAGUGUGAGAGUGGAAAGUUCACACUGUGACGGUAUCUUACCAGAAAGGGACGGCUAACUACGUGCCAGCAGCCGCGGUAAUACGUAGGUCCCGAGCGUUGUCCGGAUUUAUUGGGCGUAAAGCGAGCGCAGGCGGUUAGAUAAGUCUGAAGUUAAAGGCUGUGGCUCAACCAUAGUAGGCUUUGGAAACUGUUUAACUUGAGUGCAAGAGGGGAGAGUGGAAUUCCAUGUGUAGCGGUGAAAUGCGUAGAUAUAUGGAGGAACACCAGUGGCGAAAGCGGCUCUCUGGCUUGUAACUGACGCUGAGGCUCGAAAGCGUGGGGAGCAAACAGGAUUAGAUACCCUGGUAGUCCACGCUGUAAACGAUGAGUGCUAGGUGUUAGACCCUUUCCGGGGUUUAGUGCCGUAGCUAACGCAUUAAGCACUCCGC
This 561-nucleotide ribosomal RNA is filed under the name uncultured Streptococcus sp. RNAcentral's name for it is "bacterial SSU rRNA". It matches the Rfam family "Bacterial small subunit ribosomal RNA", at positions 320 to 872 of the family's 1533-position model. The record is from RNAcentral. Lineage: Bacteria; Bacillati; Bacillota; Bacilli; Lactobacillales; Streptococcaceae.